RNAcentral lists this ribosomal RNA (439 nucleotides) under uncultured bacterium. Its description in RNAcentral is "partial 16S ribosomal RNA". It matches the Rfam family "Bacterial small subunit ribosomal RNA", at positions 339 to 795 of the family's 1533-position model. The record is from RNAcentral.
CUACGGGAGGCUGCAGUGGGGAAUAUUGCACAAUGGAGGGAACUCUGAUGCAGCAACGCCGCGUGGAGGAUGACACAUUUCGGUGCGUAAACUCCUUUUAUAUAAGAAGAUAAUGACGGUAUUAUAUGAAUAAGCACCGGCUAACUCCGUGCCAGCAGCCGCGGUAAUACGGGGGGUGCAAGCGUUACUCGGAAUCACUGGGCGUAAAGCGCAUGUAGGCGGAUUGAAAAGUCAGAAGUGAAAUCCUAUAGCUCAACUAUAGAACUGCUUCUGAAACUCUUAAUCUAGAAUAUGGGAGAGGUAGAUGGAAUUUCUGGUGUAGGGGUAAAAUCCGUAGAGAUCAGAAGGAAUACCGAUUGCGAAGGCGAUCUACUGGAACAUUAUUGACGCUCAGAUGCGAAAGCGUGGGGAGCAAACAGGAUUAGAUACCCUCGUAGUC